AGACAACCCCACCAUCAAGCUCUAACACAACGACAUUAUGGCCGUGUGCUCCUUGACCCAAUGGACUGUCGAGUCGUUGCCUUGUAAUUUUCAAGUUUGGUAAGACUAAACCUACAGUUACUUGUUCUACAACAAUUGCUCUGGGGAAUGACUUUUGAAUAGCUAGUUGCCCAAGGCAUGCUGCUACAUUAGGUUGGAAUUUCCUCAACACCUCGGCGGCGGUGGUCACUUGUGAUGUUGCUUGGGAUCACUAGUCGCUCCUAACGGUCCCUGAAAAAUGACCAUUUUAGUAUCUUUGUCAGCUCCAUAUUCUGGUCUUCUAAUUUAAGGCAGGUAACCUUUGUUCUAAGAUUUUGCUUUGGAUCAACUACUUUCCCCGAUCUCAUGUGGUCUUAACAUGAUACUCACCCUCUUGGUUUGUAUGUAGGGAGAUGUAGCCAAGCUAUCUCACAUGUUGAAUUAAUGCAUUUCACUAAGAUUUUGCCAUAUACUUUGACCAUUGCAAUAGGUGAAACCUUAAUUAGUCGCACAAUUAACCUUCUAUACGUGGUCCCUUAAAAAUUCGCAAAUAGUCAUAUUAUACCUAGUCUGGGGUAGGAUUAGGUAAUUAGG
RNAcentral lists this long non-coding RNA (612 nucleotides) under Linum usitatissimum (flax). Its description in RNAcentral is "long non-coding RNA (LUSI_LNC002522)". Lineage: Eukaryota; Viridiplantae; Streptophyta; Magnoliopsida; Malpighiales; Linaceae. The record is from RNAcentral.